UCCUACGGGAGGCAGCAGUGAGGAAUAUUGGUCAAUGGACGAGAGUCUGAACCAGCCAAGUAGCGUGCAGGAUGACGGCCCUAUGGGUUGUAAACUGCUUUUAUACAGGGAUAAAGUGCACUACGUGUAGUGUUUUGUAGGUACUGUAUGAAUAAGGACCGGCUAAUUCCGUGCCAGCAGCCGCGCCUA
This 189-nucleotide ribosomal RNA is filed under the name uncultured Prevotella sp. Its description in RNAcentral is "partial 16S ribosomal RNA". It matches the Rfam family "Bacterial small subunit ribosomal RNA", at positions 337 to 523 of the family's 1533-position model. Lineage: Bacteria; Pseudomonadati; Bacteroidota; Bacteroidia; Bacteroidales; Prevotellaceae. The record is from RNAcentral.